Molecule: long non-coding RNA, 999 nt
Organism: Musa acuminata AAA Group (dessert banana)
Lineage: Eukaryota; Viridiplantae; Streptophyta; Magnoliopsida; Zingiberales; Musaceae
Exons: 3
Source: RefSeq, a predicted model, not a curated record
UCGCUCGUCGCAACCGCCUGACCAUAACAGCAUAUAAAUAAGCCUGGAGGUUGAGAGUGGUGUGAUGCCGUUGUUCGUCUCUCCACCGCCUCAUCCUUUUCGCCUUGAAACCCUCUGGAUGAAUCAAGGAGAAGAAGGGAUCACGAUCAAGAAGCGGCGAUUCCGCUUGAUCUCUGCAUCCCGCCCCGACUCCGGUCUUCGGAAAGAACUCUGCGGGAGUUGAGAUUGAAGACGACCACCAACAGAUGGCAGAAGAGCCGGUGUCGAAGAAAGCGAAAAGGAACCGAUCGAAUUUCUUGGAGGCGGCGGUGUCAUCGGCGGAUGAAAUAGGUAACCGACCGGGCCAAUGGCUUGAAAGCCGACGAAAAUGGGAACACCAGGGAGUCGGAGAUCGACGAGAACUUGCAUGGCCCAGAUCCAGCAGUAUAUGGUAGGGAGAGGAACCAUCGCCCCCUUGCAUCCAACGAUUUCAUCUCUUGGGCUUCAGGGUCCAGGCGCGAAUAUAGAUGGGUAAGCUACAUGAUUCUCUGGUGCCAUUGUCGGUGAUGCUGGUGUUGCUCUUCAUCGUGCCACAAUGCUGCAACUGUGUGCCUAGAAGCUGCCUCCAGGAUCUUAUUUGAAUCCAGUUCAGUUGGAAAAGGUUAGUUCCUAUUUCCUUCUAUAAAUGCUCAAAUAUUAGCAUCCUGUUUUGUGCAUUUCAUUUGACUACUAUUGUAUGGGAAGUAAGGAUAUUUUCUAUGGAGUGUAUAAUUGUCCUUUGGGUCUUUUUGAUGCAUGAUAUAUGGCCAUUGUUUUUUUGGCUUGGUCAACUAAACCCAAUUUGUAUUUCCCAAAGCCAAACUGUAACAGACCAAGUUUCUUGGCCGUGGGUUUAUUUUGCCCAUGAUCUCCGUUGUGAGUUUGCCAAAUUUGCUAAAGUAACUCGAUGUCUAUUGAUUUUAUGCUGUCUUUGUUAGUUCAGAACUAUUUUGAUUGAUCUUGAUCUAUUUAUUUCUCUAU